Molecule: transfer RNA, 75 nt
Filed under: Larimichthys crocea (large yellow croaker)
Lineage: Eukaryota; Metazoa; Chordata; Actinopteri; Sciaenidae
Rfam family: tRNA
About the family: Transfer RNA (tRNA) molecules are approximately 80 nucleotides in length. Their secondary structure includes four short double-helical elements and three loops (D, anti-codon, and T loops).
Source: Rfam by way of RNAcentral
GACCAUGUGGCCCAAUGGACAAGGCGUCUAUGACUUUGAAUCAGAUGAUUGAGGGUUUGAGUCCCUUCAUGGUUG